Ursus americanus (American black bear) is the source of this 867-nucleotide long non-coding RNA. The record is from Ensembl. Lineage: Eukaryota; Metazoa; Chordata; Mammalia; Carnivora; Ursidae.
CAGGGCCUCAGUUUCCCCAGCUUUGAGUUUGAAAUCCUCUCUUGGUGCCUGUCCGCUCAAUCAGGAAGGAGCAUUAAGACCAAGAGGGAUUUCGCAGCUGCAGUACACAUGGCCCUGUCCUCAGAAGCCCCAGUCUGAGAUGAGAAGCACAGCCCUGGCCUUGGGAGCCCUCAAACCCAGAGAUGGGAGCUUGCCUACCUGUCUACCCAUCGGCCUGGACCCCAGAGCCUGCCCAGCUAAGUGCGUACAGAGGGCCCCGGUUUCGGGGCGACUCUCAGGCUGCCGCAGAGACCACCCUGGAAUCGCUGGCGAAGACAGGCCUUUCCUGCUGAGCCAGACCUUGUCUACACAGCCUGCUCAGCUUUCAGAAAACCAACGCCAAGACCCCUCCCAGCGUCCACAUUGUCCUCUGGCAGGAGCGCCUGCCCCUCUGCCUCCCACCCCACCCCACCUGUCCCCCUUGCACUACCAUCUCCCCCCACCCCUCCCCGCCCAUCUCCUCCACGCAGAAGCCGAAGGUGAGCCCUUUCUGCACAAAACCAGCAAUUGUAAAUACUUUUUAAAAAUGUACAAAACUUAAAAAACAAAACACAGUUUUAGAAAAAGACAAAAAAAAGAGAGAGAGAGCGCGAGCGUGUGCAAGAGGUUGCGAGCGGGGCUCCGAGGUGUCCAGAGCCCCUGCAAGUAUGCACUGAGAAAUUUAUCUACAGGUCGUUUGACAAAAAUGAACAAUACCCUAUUUAUUGUAUAUACUGUUUUAUUAUAAAUCGUGGAUUGUAUAUUGCAUUCUGUAAACCUGCUGUGGUCCCGUGGUGUGCAGAUUCGCAUGGUGGGGGGGGAGCAGAACCUCUUGCGGGAGCUUUUUUU